Molecule: long non-coding RNA, 72 nt
Organism: Daphnia pulicaria
Lineage: Eukaryota; Metazoa; Arthropoda; Branchiopoda; Diplostraca; Daphniidae
Exons: 2
Source: RefSeq, a predicted model, not a curated record
AUGGUUUCAAGGUCUUUCAGCAACAAAAUUCUGUCUCAGCCAACAACAUGGUGCCAACAACAAUAACAAUUU